GGGACAAGCACUGUAAUUCCUUUUACAAGAAAAAAAUUUCCAAAAAUAUCAUGUAUCAUAUACAGAAGAUAAAAGUACAUAUAGUUUUCCGUCAAGAUGUCAAUCAGAACCUAAAAUAUUGAUGGACUUAAAAAUCCAAACCAAAAUAUGGUAUUACUACGUGGCACUUAUUGUUUACAAAAUUUAUUAUAGAAUAUUAAAAUUAUUGCCAACGUAAUAACAUAUAGGGUCACAGACAGAGAACAAUUAAAGGAAUCUUAAUUUAUAUAACUAGAUAUAUAAGACUUGUAUAGACUUUUCAUAUGCAUGCUAUUAAAAUAUCUCCUCUGUUGUGGCACAUUGACGGAUGCUAAAACUGCAUCAAAAUUAAUCGAGAAAUGCAACCUCCUACAGCCUAAUUCUAAUUUAUCUCACUUCAUCUCUGGCCGACUUGUUAAUGCUAGUCCAGUCUCUAGUUCUAGUCUACAUACAAUGAUGUCCACCGAUGACAACACCAUGCUGCUUUCUAUGUUCACCCAUAACUGAUGGACACAGGUAAUGAUUAAAAUCCAGUCCUUUUUGCUGCAACAUUUUGUAAAUAAAACAUACUUGGGAAGUUCCAUGACUACUUAAGCUACAGAUAAAAAUCUCUCACAUGUACAGUUAGAUGAAUCGAUGUAUGUCAAUAUAAUUAUCAUUACAGUAUAAUGUAGCUGUUAUUUAGUAGUUGUAUAUAGCUGCUAUUUACUAGCUGUAAAUCAGUGAUUUGUGCAGUUGUAUUAGGCUUGACUUAGGCUAAUAAUUGGGGAUUCUGUAGGCUGAUUUCCAGGCAGAUAUAGUGAGAUCUGCUUGCUGAUUUUUAGCGCUAAUUAGCUCUGCUGUACCUAUAAAUACAGGAGCUUGUUUGUAUAACAAAUCAUCGGAGAAAUAUAAGCUUUUUCUCAUAUCUUUGUCAUGGUAUCAGAGCUGGUUAUUUGAAAAUCUGCUCUUGUACUUCUUGUCCACCUUAAUAAUCAGUGUUUUUUUUUAGUCAUCUUUCUUGGAAUUCAUCUCUUGGUUCUUGUUUUUUUUCGAAUCAUGUCAUUGGAGCAAUCUAACAACUUUCUUGUUCGUUUUAAUGGGAAGAACUACUCUGCUUGGUCUUUCCAAUUUGAGAUUCUUGUCAAGGGAAAAGAAUUAUGGGGCUUUGUUGAUGGAACGGAAUCUGCACCUGACUCCAAAGAAAAGGAGAAACUUGCGAAAUGGAAGGUGAAGGAUGCUCAGAUAAUGUCUUGGAUUCUCGGGAGCAUGGAACCGUCUAUGAUUCUCAAUCUCAGGCCUUACAAGUCUUCUAAAGAUAUGUGGGGUUACUUGAAGAAAGUUUACAAUCAAAGCAACGCCGCCCGACGUUUUCAAUUAGAGCUUGAGUUGGGACAACUAAGUCAGGGAAGCAUGACAAUUCAAGAGUUUUAUUCUUCUUUUGAGAAUUUGUGGAAUGAAUACACUGAUAUUGUGUAUGAGAGUGUUUCUGCUGAAGGACUAGUUGCUGUCCAAAGUGUACACGAGACGAGCAAACGUGAUCAGUUUUUAAUGAAAUUGCGGGGAGAUUUUGAACCAGUCAGGUCCAACCUCAUGAAUAGAAAUCCAGUUCCUUCAAUCGAUACUUGCAUAGGUGAGCUUUUUCGAGAAGAACAACGGCUCAUGACACAAACUUUCAUCGAUCAGAAAUCACAGAAUUCUUCUCCAAUUCCUGUUGCAUAUGUUGCCCAAGGAAAGCAUAGAGGUGGAAGAGAUAUGAGUAAUAUCCAAUGCUACAGUUGCAAAGGAUUUGGACAUGUUGCUACUAAUUGCACUAAAAAAUUCUGCAAUUAUUGCAAGAAAGCUGGGCAUACUAUUAAAGAUUGUCCAAUCCGGCCUCCGAAGAAAUCUGAGACUGCUUACAAUGUCUCAGUUGGAUCCUCAAAUGCUCCGAACUUUGGUCAGUCCUCUGUUACUCCUGAAAUGAUCCAGCAGAUGAUAGUUAAUGCAUUUUCAACUUUAGGAAUUUCAGGUAACAAAAAUUCUGCCCAUAAGCCUUGGUAUUUUGAUUCCGCUGCUUCAAAUCACAUGACUAGCACAACAGUACCCCUAAAUAAUGUUCAAAAGUAUAAAGGGGAUCUUCAUAUUCAAACUGCUGAUGGUAACUCUUUACCUAUUACUGCUGUUGGUGAUAUUUCAACCUCUCUGAAUACAGUUUUUGUGUCCCCAAAGUUGUCUACUAAUCUUAUAUCUGUUGGCCAGUUAGUUGAUAACAAUUGCACCGUUCAAUUUUCAAAUUCUGGUUGUUUUGUGCAGGAUCAAGUGUCAGGGAAGAUGAUCGCGAAGGGGCCUAAAGUGGGACGUCUCUUUCCUUUACUCCCAUCACCUUCUCUAGUGUCAAAUUAUGUCUCUUGUAAUGCCGUUGAUUGUAAUAAUCAAGUGUGGCAUAAGCGGUUAGGACAUCCAAAUUCUCAUGUUCUUAGUAUUUUACUUAAAUCUGGUUUGCUUGGGAAUAAAGUUUCGAAUUCUUCAAAUACAGACAAUAUUCAUUGUGCAUCUUGCAAACUUGGUAAAAGCAAAACACUUCCUUUUCCAUCACGUAAAUCUCACACCACCAAAGCUUUUGAACUUGUGCAUACAGAUGUAUGGGGUAUUUCACCAGUGGUAUCUCAUCAACAUUACAAGUAUUUUGUAACUUUUAUAGACGAUUUCUCUCGUUAUACUUGGGUAUAUUUCCUUCGAUAUAAAAGCGAGGUCUUUAAAGCAUUUCAAACUUUCCAUGCUUUAAUCGAGACACAAUUUUCUGCAAAAAUCAGAAUUUUGCAAUCUGAUUCGGGUGGUGAAUAUACAUCAAAUGAAUUUCAAUCUUUCCUUCAAAAUCAUGGAAUCAUAUCACAACGAUCUUGUCCAUCAACUCCACAACAAAAUGGUGUGGCCGAGAGAAAGAAUCGUCAUCUUCUUGAUGUCGUUCGAACUCUCCUCAUCGAGUCUUGUGUUCCAUCUCAUUUUUGGUGUGAAGCCCUGUCUACUGCUGUUUAUUUGAUAAACAGAUUACCAUCUCCCACCUUAAACAAUGAAUCUCCCUACCUCCGUUUAUAUGAAGAUGCACCAGAUUAUUCUGAUCUUCAUAUUUUCGGAUGUGUUUGUUUUGUUCUUCUUCAGCCACAUGAAAGGAACAAACUUACUGCACAAUCUGUCAAGUGUGCUUUUUUAGGAUACGGUGGUACCCAAAAAGGUUUUCUUUGCUAUGAUCCUAAUACUCGUCGUAUUCGUGUGUCUAGAAAUGUAAUUUUCUUUGAAAAUCAGUCAUUUUUUUGCACACAAAUGACUUCACAACUCCCAUCGAUAGCUAUAUUGCCUCAUUUUCCCGAGUCAUCAGCCCCAUCACAAAGAUUUAAACCAGGUCAUGUUUAUCAUAGACGCACAUCUCCCACUAUGGCUCCUGCGACUCUUUCGGACGCACCUGAUCCUGUUCUACCGAGUUCCAAUGAUCCACCUCCUGUUCGGAGAAGCUCUAGAAAUUCAAAACCUCCCGACAGGUAUGGUUAUACAAAUCCAGUAGCCAUGUCCACUACUUUAUCUCCCAUCUCUAUUCCCACUUGUUAUAAACAGGCUAUGGAACAUGAGUGUUGGCAACAAGCAAUGGAAACAGAACUUCAAGCUCUUGCAGAAAAUCAUACUUGGGACGUUGUUUCCUUGCCUCCAAAUGUUAAGCCAAUUGGUAGCAAGUGGGUUUAUAGUAUGAAACUCAAGUCUGAUGGCUCAUUAGAUCGAUACAAAGCUCGGCUGGUUGCACUUGGCAAUAAACAAGAAUAUGGUAUCAACUAUGAAGAGACAUUUGCACCAGUUGCUAAAAUGACCACUGUAAGAACCAUUCUUGCUGUUGCUUCCUCUAAAUCUUGGCCUUUACAUCAGAUGGAUGUCAAAAAUGCUUUUUUGAAUGGGGAUCUUAAAGAAGAAAUUUACAUGAAACUUCCACAUGGCAUGGCAUGGAUAGCUCCAAAUAAAGUUUGCAGGUUAAGGCGCACUUUGUAUGGGUUGAGGCAGUCUCCUAGAGAAUGGUUUGAUAAGUUUCGCCAUACUCUCAUCAACUUCUCUUUUACACAAAGCCAAUAUGAUUCAUCUCUCUUCUUUCAUAAGACACAAGAAGGUAUGGUCUUUCUUCUGGUCUAUGUCGAUGAUAUAAUCAUCACAGGCAGUGACACUGUGCUCAUAUCAAAACUCAAGAAUAUGUUGCAUAGUACAUUUCAAAUGAAGGAUCUUGGGGAUCUUAAGUAUUUUUUGGGUCUAGAAGUUCAUUCUCGAGAUCAAGGUAUAUUCUUAAAUCAGCAUAAAUAUGUCAGAGAUCUUAUUGAGUUGGCUGGUUUAAAGGAGGCUACUGCUGUUGAUACACCAAUGGAAGUGAAUGUUAAAUAUCGAAAAGAUGAAGGGGAGCUUUUGCCUAAUCCUUAUUUAUAUAGACAAUUGGUUGGUAGCCUCAUCUAUCUAACAAUUACUAGGCCUGAUAUCUCAUAUGCUGUCCAUAUAGUUAGCAGAUUUAUGCAAUCACCUCGGCAUCUUCAUCUUGUUGCAGUGAAGCGUAUUAUUCGAUAUUUAAUUGGGUCACCUACGCGUGGUCUAUUCUUUCCAAAAAAUUCUGAUCUUCAUUUGACAGCAUAUAGUGAUGCUGAUUGGGCUGGAUGUCCGGAUACUAGAAGAUCUACAACUGGAUGGUGUACUUUUCUUGGAGAUGCAUUGAUCUCUUGGAAGUGUAAAAAGCAAGAUCAUGUCUCAAAAUCUUCCACGGAGGCUGAAUAUAGAGCCAUGUCUGCAGCUUGUGCUGAAAUUGUUUGGUUACGUGGCCUUCUUUCCGAGCUUGGAGCUUCUCAAAUUAAUCCUACUCCACUCCAUGCUGAUAACAAAAGUGCCAUUCAGAUAGCUUCCAAUCCAGUAUUUCAUGAACGAACAAAACACAUCGAAGUUGAUUGUCAUUAUAUCAGAGAUGCAUUUACUCGUGGUGUUAUUGAACUUCCUCAUGUUAGUACUAAUCUUCAAACAGCUGAUGUGUUUACAAAAGCUUUGACACGUCAACGGCACAAGUUUCUUAAUGGCAAAUUGAUGCUACUAGAUUUACCAGCAUCAAUUUGAGGGGGGGUGUCAAUAUAAUUAUCAUUACAGUAUAAUGUAGCUGUUAUUUAGUAGUUGUAUAUAGCUGCUAUUUACUAGCUGUAAAUCAGUGAUUUGUGCAGUUGUAUUAGGCUUGACUUAGGCUAAUAAUUGGGGAUUCUGUAGGCUGAUUUCCAGGCAGAUAUAGUGAGAUCUGCUUGCUGAUUUUUAGCGCUAAUUAGCUCUGCUGUACCUAUAAAUACAGGAGCUUGUUUGUAUAACAAAUCAUCGGAGAAAUAUAAGCUUUUUCUCAUAUCUUUGUCAGACCGAGGUGCAAGGUCUGCCAUUUUCUAUAUGCUCAUCAAAGGGCACCAAAACAAAUCUCAUCAUAUGCUUUUUCAGGUCAGAAAACCAUAUGUAUAGCC
RNAcentral lists this long non-coding RNA (5486 nucleotides) under Daucus carota (carrot). RNAcentral describes it as "long non-coding RNA (DCAR_LNC003261)". Lineage: Eukaryota; Viridiplantae; Streptophyta; Magnoliopsida; Apiales; Apiaceae. The record is from RNAcentral.